CCCCUAUUUACUGUAAGUUAGUCCAUGAUCGAUCUGUUCCUAUACUUUUGGUCUUGCCGCUCCAGUAGUUUCAGAGGGGACUGUAGCUAGGUCCAAAGUAUUUUAAAUGUCUCUACAUUUCUGUCACACUAAAACAAACACGGCACAAAUGAACACACAUCGCUACGGGACACUCCUCGAGUUUUCGCUCAUUUGCUCGCGUGCAUUUCGAGCUCCGCCUUCUCCCACACGUCUUUUUUUUUUCGCUCCGUUCUGAUCCGUUUUCGUACCAAACAGGAACCGAAUCGAGACGGUCAUCUCGGAUAUGGACUAACAGUUGAGAAAUUGGUGUGUAAUGAUGUCAUUAAGUCAUCAUCGGGAAGAAGAACGGGGCAGUAGGCUGUUUUGCACGCCAUGACGCAUCUGAAUUAAUGAUAGUCAUUUCUAACACUUCUUUGGAGGAGUAAUUAUAGAGCUUUGUAAACAACUUAGGAAGCAUUAUAAUCAAAGUCAUGAGGAUUUAAGAUCACAGGUUUCACAGACUGCACAAAUAACACUAACCUUACACCUCUAAUGCUGCAUUACACACACACACACACACACACACACACACACACACACACACACACACACACACACACACACAGCCUUAUAUUUGUUAACAUGAAAAAUACAUCAGACUGCAAUGCAUUGUGGGGAAAUUCUGCCCCUGAAAGCCUACAUUCAUAUACAUACACAUACAUCUCCAGUCCUGUUUAUUCAUGUUUACUCCUACAUUCAUGUUUAUUCAUGUUUACAUCUCCAGUCCUGUUUAUUCAUGUUUACUCCUACAUUCAUGUUUACUUCUACAUUCCUAUUUAUUCAUGUUUACUCCUGCAUUCAUGUUUAUUCAUGUUUACUCCUACAUUCAUGUUUAUUCAUUUAUUUCUACAUUCAUGUUUAUUCAUGUUUACAUCUCCAGUCCUGUUGAUUCAUGUUUACUCCUACAUUCAUAUUUACUCCUACAUUCAUGUUUAUUCAUGUUUACUUCUACAUUCAUGUUUAUUCAUGUUUACUCCUACAUUCAUGUUUAUUCAUGUUUACUCCUACAUUCAUGUUUAUUCAUGUUUACUUCUACAGUCCUGUUUAUUCAUGUUUACUCCUACAUUCAUGUUUACUUUUACAUUCCUAUUUAUUCAUGUUUACUCCUGCAUUCAUGUUUAUUCAUAUUUACUCCUACAUUCAUGUUUAUUCAUGUUUACUCCUACAUUCAUAUUUAUUCAUGUUUACUUCUACAUUCAUGUUUACUCCUACAUUCAUAUUUAUUCAUGUUUACUUCUACAUUCAUGUUUAUUCUGUCUACUUCUACAUUCAUGUUUAUUCAUG
Long non-coding RNA from Ictalurus punctatus (channel catfish), 1344 nucleotides. Lineage: Eukaryota; Metazoa; Chordata; Actinopteri; Siluriformes; Ictaluridae. The record is from Ensembl.